RNAcentral lists this unclassified non-coding RNA (277 nucleotides) under uncultured fungus. Its description in RNAcentral is "sequence contains ITS1". The stretch from base 1 to 105 matches the Rfam family "5.8S ribosomal RNA", at positions 50 to 154 of the family's 154-position model. The record is from RNAcentral. Lineage: Eukaryota; Fungi.
GAAAUGCGAUACGUAAUGCGAAUUGCAGAAUUCAGUGAAUCAUCGAAUCUUUGAACGCAAGUUGCGCUUUCGAGAGCCCUCGGAAGCAUGCCUCUCUGAGUAUCGGUUUCUAUAUAUCUCACACUGGUGUGUGGGGAGAAUGGGAGUUGUGCGGCCCGCACAUCUCUUGAAGUCAACACGUACGAAGUCCAUCGGAUUCUUGGAACGAUAAUCCGUCAUGGCGCCAGAAAACCAUACACAAGAUCUCAGAUGAGGUAAGACUACCCGCCGAAUUUAA